UACGUAGGGUGCAAGCGUUAAUCGGAAUUACUGGGCGUAAAGCGUGCGCAGGCGGUUGUGCAAGACAGAUGUGAAAUCCCCGGGCUUAACCUGGGAACUGCAUUUGUGACUGCACGGCUAGAGUGCGGCAGAGGGGGAUGGAAUUCCGCGUGUAACAGUGAAAUGCGUAGAUAUGCGGAGGAACACCGAUGGCGAAGGCAAUCCCCUGGGCCUGCACUGACGCUCAUGCACGAAAGCGUGGGGAGCAAACAGG
Molecule: ribosomal RNA, 253 nt
Filed under: uncultured bacterium
Lineage: Bacteria
Description: partial 16S ribosomal RNA
Rfam family: Bacterial small subunit ribosomal RNA
Source: RNAcentral